Molecule: long non-coding RNA, 2115 nt
Organism: Cavia porcellus (domestic guinea pig)
Lineage: Eukaryota; Metazoa; Chordata; Mammalia; Rodentia; Caviidae
Exons: 2
Source: RefSeq, a predicted model, not a curated record
CCAGACCCCGCCUCCGCCCAUACCCACGCCCACAUGCUGGCCUAGGCCACGCCCCCGCGCCCUUAGGCCCGCCUCUUCCGUAGCUCCCUCAGCCCUCCAAGCCGAGCAGCUGCCGGUGCCGAGUCUAUUUCUGGUACCUUGGUGGACGCGGGUUGGCCCCACGCAGGUCUGAUCUCGUGCCUUCUCUCACAUCGUGCCACAUACCUAGGUUAAAAGUGAGACUCCAAGGCGCGCGUGGUGACGCAUACCUAUAAUUUAGGUACGCUGGGAGACCGAGGCAAGUGGAUCACUAGUUCUAACCCAGGGGGGCAGUUUAGCAGUUUAGCGAGAUCCUGUCUCUCAAAACCAAAUAAAAAAGGGCGGAAAAAAUAGCUCAGUGCAAAGGCCCUGGGUUCAAUCCCCACCGUGUGUGGGGGGGUGAAUCCAUCGUGCAUUCAUUACUCGCUCUAAUGUCCAGGGCAUCCGCUGAGUCGGAACUGCGACCCAAAGGCUUAGGUUCGGUACGAUCUGUUUCUGGAGAGGAUGGGUUCUGAAAGGGAGAGCAACCUUGCGCUGGCCGGUUCGGGCGGUGCGGGCUCUUGGGUGCAGGGAGUGGACCGUCCCCUCCAGUUUGCCAGGCGUCCAUCGGGUAUGUGGGAACCGGUCCAUUGAAACCGAGAGGCUCGGGCUCCCUUGGCUGGCGAGGACCCCGGAGCGGGAGCCUGCGGUACUGGAGAUGCAGCGCGGGGCGCGGAUGGACCUCGGCCCUUGCCUGGCCUUUGGGGUCUGUGCCCUUGGACCCACCGCUCCCGGGUCCUGCGUGACCUGCUACAGCUUCGCCACCUGGUGGCAGCGAGAGGCGUCACAGACGGGCCAAGGGCGAGCUGCCCCAGGACCGCUCAGUGGGGGACCAUGCCCUAAAGAAAAACAAUGGAACUUGCUACGACUCCAGUGCUGUUGCGAUGAUCGCACGCGCGAUGCGGCCACGUCCAUCUCGUUUUCAGCCUUAAAGAGCUGCAGGAGUAGAGUCAGGAACUGUCUGGCCCUGAAGCCUUUCGAGAAGAGCUGGUAAGGGACAGAUCACCCACUGUGAUGGCAGAGAAGGGGGCAUGUUCGUCAGCCCUGGACUUGGCCUGGUACUCCUGCUCUGCACUGAGGUACUAGAGGAAUAUGCACGCUUCACUGCUCUGGCUUUCAAAGGAAGCAGGAAGACCCCCGAGUUUUCUGCAGCAAAUCCAGGGACACAAACAGAGUGGGGCAGGGUUGGGGGCCUAGCACCCUCCCAUACUGCUCUUAAGGAAGAAAUACAAAGAAGUUGGGGUCCCCUUGGUGCCUGGCUGGGCAGGACUGUGAGAAGCAAACAGCAGCUAUCAGCAGCCCCUUUGAUGCUCUGGAAGCUUUCUGUGGCAGGAAUGUUGAAACCUCCAUCUUCCAAACACUCUUCUGGGAAAGAGGGCGAUGACCUCUCAAAGGAAGGACAGAGUAUGCAUCCUUCAUUUACCCACUGCCCUGUUCUGGGCGGGGCCUUAUUUUAAACUGGCCUCCUGAUUACCUUUCAUGUUGUGGUGGAUUGAUAACUGGUGGUCAACUUGUGACAUCAGCUAAACUGAAUCAGUGUGGUGCUGAGCUUGGAGGGCCCACCUGGGGAUUGUUGCCAAUAUAAAGAGAACUGGAGAGGAAGAGAUAGUGGUGGUGGUUCUUCUGGGUGUUGUGGGUUGUCCUGGAGUUUCUUGUGCUUCUUUCCUCAUACGAACUCGACUGUUGCCAUGGUCAGAGGAGCUUGGGCCUUGUCACUGAGAAUGGCUAUGGUUCACUUUGGGGGAGCCCUGGUCCUUUGAGCAUCACUUUCUGGCUCCAGUGUAGAUCCCUCAGCCUGCUAUCACAGAUCCUGCACCCUGCCAGCACAGACUUUCUGGCUUCUACUGCUGACCUUUGGCCUUCCUGGUGCAGAUCCAUGAUACAAAUUUGCAUGAGAGAUUGCCACGGGUUCCAAGUCUUCAGCUGGAUUCAUGCAGGACAUUGCCAUGAGAUCCAGGCCAUCAGCUGGAUUCCUUGGGUCUUAGUGUGAGGACAGAUUUCCUGCACUUUCUGUGUUUGACUCUUUGGGUGACCAUUAUAAAAUAAUUGCAUAAAUUA